GAUGAACGCUGGCGGCGUGCCUAAUACAUGCAAGUCGAGCGAACAGACGAGGAGCUUGCUCCUCUGACGUUAGCGGCGGACGGGUGAGUAACACGUGGAUAACCUACCUAUAAGACUGGGAUAACUUCGGGAAACCGGAGCUAAUACCGGAUAAUAUAUUGAACCGCAUGGUUCAAUAGUGAAAGACGGUUUUGCUGUCACUUAUAGAUGGAUCCGCGCCGCAUUAGCUAGUUGGUAAGGUAACGGCUUACCAAGGCGACGAUGCGUAGCCGACCUGAGAGGGUGCUCGGCCACCCUGGAACUGAGACACGGUCCAGACUCCUACGGGAGGCAGCAGUAGGGAAUCUUCCGCAAUGGGCGAAAGCCUGACGGAGCAACGCCGCGUGAGUGAUGAAGGUCUUCGGAUCGUAAAACUCUGUUAUUAGGGAAGAACAAAUGUGUAAGUAACUAUGCACGUCUUGACGGUACCUAAUCAGAAAGCCACGGCUAACUACGU
This 496-nucleotide ribosomal RNA is filed under the name uncultured bacterium. Its description in RNAcentral is "partial 16S ribosomal RNA". It matches the Rfam family "Bacterial small subunit ribosomal RNA", at positions 28 to 506 of the family's 1533-position model. The record is from RNAcentral.